Molecule: small nucleolar RNA, 138 nt
Filed under: Ornithorhynchus anatinus (platypus)
Lineage: Eukaryota; Metazoa; Chordata; Mammalia; Monotremata; Ornithorhynchidae
Source: RNAcentral
CCCCUCUCAGGAUUGCACCUGGUUAGUUUCCAGUACUCUACCAGCCUCGACUACAGGAGGAAGAGUCAAGCAGAGGUGUACCCAUUCCAUUCCUAGCUCGGGCAAUGGCUAGCGAGUGGAAGGCAAUCUGCUACAAGU